CUUCUGCCAAGCAGAGCAGCACAGCUGCAAGACACCCUGCUUCUGGCUCUGAGCUUUGCUUGUCUUCAGGGAUGGAGCCCCUCCCAAGGCAAGUUCAACUGGGUUCUUUGGCAGCCGAAGUCUACACGGACCCUGCAGGGAGCGGUGGAGAAAACACCUUUUUCUUCCUUCCAUGAUAUAGAUAUAUUGAUCAUGAGGAGAGGGCUCACCCCUCACCCGGAGAAGUAGUUGGGGAAGCAAUAUGCGGAAACAAAGCCAUGAAUCUGACAAGAAAUGUACUUAAGAUUGUAUAUAUGGAGAUGAAUACCCAUUGUCCUUUGCACUUUCUGGAUGAUAAAUUAGAAAAGAAAAAUCCAAAGAAUGAAGUUGUGCUAUUUGUCCUCACUUCUGAUUUGGGAAACUAGAGGAAAUUAAGAUGGGAAAAGACCAUGUGAGGACACAGUGAGAAGGAGACCAUAUGCAAAGCAGGAAGGAAGAUCUCACUGGAACCAAAAACCAGCCCUGCUGGCACCCUGAUCUUGGACUUCUAGCCUUUCUCAGAACUGUGAGAAAAUAAAUUUCUGAUGUUUCAGCCACUCAGCCUGUGGUCGUUCGUUAUGCAACCCUAGCAGACAAACAGGGACCUAGCUUAAGAACUGGUUAAAAAUGAGGCCAGUGAGGAAUUUGAUACUCUAUGGUUGGGAAAGUUUGAUUUAUUCUAAGUGCAAUGGAAUGGAGCUGGGGAUAUAAAUUUUGGAUUUACUGGCAGGUGAAACAUAUUUUAAAAUAGACUAAAAUUAAAUUUCCUAAGGACAGAAUGUAGACAGAAAAGAAUCAAGGUUUUAUGACCAAGAUCCAAGUCACUCCAAUAUUUAGAGUUCUCCCAAGCAUUUAAAGAAGGCUUACACUGAUUCUAUGUAGCAUCUUCCAAAAAAUAGAAAUUUUUCACGGCAUCUUUCCAAGUCAUUAUAUGAGGCCAAAAUUACCUUGAUAUUUUAACCAAAGACAGUACGAGAGAAAAAGCUAUAGAUCAAUAUCUCACAUGAACUUAGACAUAACAUUUCUAAACAAAAUAUUAGCAACUUGAAUCCAGAAAUAUGUAAAAAAGAAUUAUGCAACAUAGCCAAGUGGGAUCUAUUCCAGGUAUGCAAUGCUUUUAAAUGUUUGAAAAAAAGUCAAUAUAAUCUACCAUAUUAACAGGCUAAUCACAUGAUCAUAUCAGUUGAUGAAGAUCAAAUCUAUGACAAAAUUUAACACCUAUUUAUAAUUUUAAAGAACCUCUCUAAAAAUAAAAAAUAGAAGGAAAUAUCCUCAAAUUGAUAAAGAUCAUUUACAGAAAACACAAAAGCUAGCAUUACACUUAAUGGUGAGAAUCUGAAUUAGUUCCCCCUAAGAUCAGGACCAGGCAAAGAUGUUUGCUAUCAUCACUCUCAUUCCAUAUAGUGCUGGAAGUUCUCACUGGUGCAAUAAGGCACACAGUGGAAAUAAAGACACUGAAAUUUGUGUUAGUUAAUUUUGUGUUGCUAUAACGGAAUGCCACAGAAUGGAUAAUUUAUUAAGAAAAUUGUUUAUUUCUUACAGUUUUGGAGGCUCAGAAGUUCAAGGUGCAGGGGCCCACAUCUGGUGAGGGCCUUCUUGCUGUAUCAUCCCAUGGCAGAAGGCAAAAGGGCAAGAGUACAAGAUAGAAAGAGAAAGAGGGAUGGGGGAAGGUUGAUAUGAGGGAGCCAAACUCAUCCUUUUUAUCCAGAGUCCACUCCUGAGAUAAUUAAGUCACUUCCGCAAUACAUCAUUAAUCCAUUCAGAGCCCUCAUGACCUAAUCACCUUUUAAAGGUUCCACUUAACGCUGUUGCACUGGGGAUUAAGUUUCCAAUACAAAAACUUUGGGGGAUGCAUUCAAACUAUAGCCAGUUUGAAUGGAAAAAAAUUUAACUGUUUCUAUUUCAAAUGACCUAAUUGUAUACAUAGAAAAUUCCAGGCAAUCUUUUAAAAACUCCCAGAACUAAUGUAUAAGUUUAGCAAGAUCAUAGGAUCCAAGACCAACACACAAAAAUCAAUCAUAUUUUUAUACGCUAGCAAUGAAUAUGUGGAAAACACAAUUAAGAAUACAAGACUAUUUACAAUUAUUUCAAAAAAGAGAGAAAUAAUUAGAUACAAAUCUAAUGUACACAUAGGUCCUCUAUGCCAAAAAUGACAGAACCCAAAGGAACAAAUGCAAAGGACCUUUAAAUAAAUGGAGAGAUGACUUUGUAAUGGAUAGAAAGAUUCAACAUAAUAAAGAUGUCAAUUCUCUCCAACUUCAUCAACAGGGGCAAUUCAAUUCAUAUCAAAAUUCCAAAAAAAUUUUUUUGCAGAUAUAGUAAAAUUUAUUUUAAAAUUUAUAUCUCAAGGCACAGGCCAUGGACUAAGUAAAAUUAUUUUGAAAUUGAAUAAAGUUGGGUAGAUUAUUAUAUCCAAUGUUAAGACUUAAUAUAUGGCUACAAUAAUCAAGAGAGUGUGAUAUUGGUUGGGGGAAUAGACUCAUAGAUCAAUGGAACAGAAGAGAUAACCCGAAACUAAACAACACAAAUAUGCCCAGCUGAUUUUUGCAAAGGUUAUAAAAGCGGUUCAGUGGAAGAACAGUUCUUUCAACAGAUGAUGUUAAAGCAAUUAGAUGUCCAAGGGCAAAUAAUUGAGUCUCAACCUAAACCUAAUACUUCAUUCAAAAAUUAAUUCAAAGUGUAUUAUAGAUUUAAAUAUAAAUGUAAAACUAAAAAACUUUAGCAUAAAACAAAGAAAAAUUUUAGGAAGUAGGGCUAGAUGAGAAGAUCUUAGAUAUGACACCAAAAGCACAACUCAUAAGAGAAUAUAAUUACUCUAUUGGACUUCAUAAAAAUUAAAAACUUUUGCUCUGUGAAAGACUACAUUUAGAGAAUGAAAAGUUAAUCUAAAGUUAAUCUACAGACUAGAGGAAAAUAUUUGCAAAUCACAAGAUUCAACAUAGGGCUUCUACUUAGAAUAUAUAAAGAGCUCUCAAGCUGAACAUUAAAAGAAAAAUAAGCAGGCUGGUCUGAAGAUAGCGAAGUAUCUCAACUGAUUGUUCACAGUUCGUUAAGGAUCUUACUCUUUGUUCUACAAUUCCCCCCUUCUCACUACUGCACUUGACUAAUAAAAAAGCAAUUAAAUUAGAAAAUUUAUAAACAAAAUUAACAAAAGAUUUUUAACUGGGGAGAGAUGAUAUCUCAUUUUAGUUUUGAUUUGCUUUUCUCUGAUAAUCAAUGAUGUUGAAUGCGUUUUCACAUGCCUGUUUGACAUUUGUAUGUCUUCUUUUGGGCAACGUCUAUUCAAAUCUUUUGCCCAUUUUUUAAAUCAAAUUAUUAGAUUUUUUCCUGUAAAAUUGUUUGAGCUCCUUAUAUAUUCUAAUUAUUAAUCCCUCAUCAGGUGGGUAGUUUGCAAAUAAUUUCUCCCACUCUGCACAUUGUCUCUUCACUUUGUUUAUUGUUCCCUUCAUUCUGCAGAAGCUUUUAAACUUGAUUUGACCCCACUUGUCCAUAUCCAAAAGACAGGCAAUAACAAAUGCUGGUGAGGAUGUGGAGAAAAGUGAAUGCUUGUACACUGUUUGUGGGAAUAUAAAUUAGUAUAACCACUCUGAAGAAUAGUUUGGAGGUUCCUCGAAAAAUUAAAAAUAGAGCUACCAUAUGAUCCAGCAAUACCAUUCCUAGGUAUAUGACCAAUAGAAGGGAAAUCAAUAUAUUGAAGAGAUACCUGCACUCCCAUGUUAGCUGAAACACCGUUCAUAAUAGCCAAGAUUUGGAAGCAAUCUAAGUGUCCAUCAAUAGAUGAAUGGAUAAAGAAAGUGUGGUACUUAUACACAAUGGAGAAUUAUUUAGCCACGGAAAAGCAUGAGAUCCUGUCAUUUGCAACAACAUGGAUGGAACCGGAGAUCAUUAUGUUAAGUGAAAUAAGCCAGGCACAGAAAGACAAAGAUCACAUGUUCUCACUUAUUUGUGGGAGCUAAAAUUUAAAACGAUUGAACUCGUAUACAUAGAGUGUAGAGGAUGGUUACCAGAGGCUGGGAAGGGUAGUUGGGGUUGAUAGGGAAGAUGAAAAUAGCUAAUGGGUUAAAAAAAAUGAAAGAAUGAAUAAUACCUGGUAGUUGAUAGCAAAACAGGGUUACUAUAGUCAAAAUAAUUUAAUUGUAUAUUUUCAAAUAACUAAAAGAAUGUAAUUGGAUUGUUUGUAACACAAAGGAUAAAUGCUUAAGGAGAUGAAUACCCCAUUUACCCUGAUGUGAUUAUUAUAUGCAUUGCAUACCUGUCAUCUGGAUGUCCAAGCAGAAGUUUGCUGCAGAGGUGGGGCCUCAUGAAGAACCUCUGCUAGGGCAGUGUGGAAGAGAAAUGUGGGGUUGGAUGCCCCAGAGUCCCCACUGGGGCACUGCCUAGUAGAGCUGUGAGAAGAGAGCCACCAUCCUCCAUACUCCAGAACGAUAGAUCCACCAACAGCUUGCACUAUGCGCCUGGAAAAGCUGCAGACAUUCAACACUAGCCCCUGAAAGCAGCCAGGAUGGGGGCUGUAUCCUGCAAAGCCACAGGGGAGGAGCUGCCCGAGGCUGUGGGAGCUCACCUCUUGUAUCAGCAUGACCUGGAUAUGAGACAUGAAGUCAAAGGAGAUCAUUUUGGAGCUUUAAGAUUUAAUGAUUGCCCCUUGGGAUUACAGACUUGCAUGGAGUCUUAGCCCUUUUGUUUUGGCCAAUUCCUCCCAUUUGGAACAGGUAUAUUUACCCACUGCCUGUACCCCCAUUAUAUCUAGGAAGUAACUCACUUGCUUUUGAUUUUACAGACUCAUAAGUGGAAGGGACUUGCUUUGUCUCUGAUGAUACUUUGGACUGUGAACUUUUGAGUUAAUACUGAAAUGAGUUAAGACUUUGGGGGACUGUUGGGAAGGCAUGAUUGCUUUUGAAAUGUGAGAACAUGAGAUUUGGGAGGGGCCAGGGGCUGAAUGAUAUGGUUUGGUUGUGUCCCCACCCAAAUCUCACCUUAAAUUGUAAUAAUCCCCAUGUGUCAAGGGUGGGGCCAGGUGGAGAUAACUGGAUCAUGGGGGCGGUUUUCCCCAUACUGUUCUCAUGGUAGUGAAUAAGUCUUACGAGUCUGAUGGUUUUAUAAAUAAGACUUCCCCAUACAAGCUCUCUUUUGCCUGCCACCAUGUAAGAUGUGACUUUACUCCUCAUUUGCCUUCCGCUAUGAUUAUGAGGGCUCCCUAGCUAUGUGGACCUGUGAGUCCAUUAAACCUCUUUCCUUAAUAAAUUACCCAGUCUUGGGUGUGUCUUUAUUAGCAGUGUUUGAACAGACAAAUAUACAA
Molecule: long non-coding RNA, 5314 nt
Filed under: Homo sapiens (human)
Lineage: Eukaryota; Metazoa; Chordata; Mammalia; Primates; Hominidae
Description: non-protein coding LINC01497:8
Source: RNAcentral